UACGUGGGGGGCCAGCGUUGUCCGAAGUUACUGGGCGUAAAGCGCGUGUAGGCGGGUUUUUAAGUGAGGGGUGAAAGGUUCAGGCUCAACCUGGACACUGCCUCUCAUACUGGGAACCUUGAGUGCGGGAGAGGCGAGUGGAAUGGUCGGUGUAGCGGUGAAAUGCGUAGAUAUCGAUCGGAACACCCAUGGCGAAGGCAGCUCGCUGGCCUGUAACUGACGCUGAG
This 227-nucleotide ribosomal RNA is filed under the name uncultured prokaryote. Its description in RNAcentral is "partial 16S ribosomal RNA". It matches the Rfam family "Bacterial small subunit ribosomal RNA", at positions 524 to 750 of the family's 1533-position model. The record is from RNAcentral.